This 1415-nucleotide ribosomal RNA is filed under the name Shigella sonnei. Its description in RNAcentral is "partial 23S ribosomal RNA". It matches the Rfam family "Bacterial large subunit ribosomal RNA", at positions 1233 to 2632 of the family's 2925-position model. Lineage: Bacteria; Pseudomonadati; Pseudomonadota; Gammaproteobacteria; Enterobacterales; Enterobacteriaceae. The record is from RNAcentral.
GGAGCGUUCUGUAAGCCUGCGAAGGUGUGCUGUGAGGCAUGCUGGAGGUAUCAGAAGUGCGAAUGCUGACAUAAGUAACGAUAAAGCGGGUGAAAAGCCCGCUCGCCGGAAGACCAAGGGUUCCUGUCCAACGUUAAUCGGGGCAGGGUGAGUCGACCCCUAAGGCGAGGCCGAAAGGCGUAGUCGAUGGGAAACAGGUUAAUAUUCCUGUACUUGGUGUUACUGCGAAGGGGGGACGGAGAAGGCUAUGUUGGCCGGGCGACGGUUGUCCCGGUUUAAGCGUGUAGGCUGGUUUUCCAGGCAAAUCCGGAAAAUCAAGGCUGAGGCGUGAUGACGAGGCACUACGGUGCUGAAGCAACAAAUGCCCUGCUUCCAGGAAAAGCCUCUAAGCAUCAGGUAACAUCAAAUCGUACCCCAAACCGACACAGGUGGUCAGGUAGAGAAUACCAAGGCGCUUGAGAGAACUCGGGUGAAGGAACUAGGCAAAAUGGUGCCGUAACUUCGGGAGAAGGCACGCUGAUAUGUAGGUGAAGUCCCUUGCGGAUGGAGCUGAAAUCAGUCGAAGAUACCAGCUGGCUGCAACUGUUUAUUAAAAACACAGCACUGUGCAAACACGAAAGUGGACGUAUACGGUGUGACGCCUGCCCGGUGCCGGAAGGUUAAUUGAUGGGGUCAGCGCAAGCGAAGCUCUUGAUCGAAGCCCCGGUAAACGGCGGCCGUAACUAUAACGGUCCUAAGGUAGCGAAAUUCCUUGUCGGGUAAGUUCCGACCUGCACGAAUGGCGUAAUGAUGGCCAGGCUGUCUCCACCCGAGACUCAGUGAAAUUGAACUCGCUGUGAAGAUGCAGUGUACCCGCGGCAAGACGGAAAGACCCCGUGAACCUUUACUAUAGCUUGACACUGAACAUUGAGCCUUGAUGUGUAGGAUAGGUGGGAGGCUUUGAAGUGUGGACGCCAGUCUGCAUGGAGUCGACCUUGAAAUACCACCCUUUAAUGUUUGAUGUUCUAACGUGGACCCGUGAUCCGGGUUGCGGACAGUGUCUGGUGGGUAGUUUGACUGGGGCGGUCUCCUCCUAAAGAGUAACGGAGGAGCACGAAGGUUGGCUAAUCCUGGUCGGACAUCAGGAGGUUAGUGCAAUGGCAUAAGCCAGCUUGACUGCGAGCGUGACGGCGCGAGCAGGUGCGAAAGCAGGUCAUAGUGAUCCGGUGGUUCUGAAUGGAAGGGCCAUCGCUCAACGGAUAAAAGGUACUCCGGGGAUAACAGGCUGAUACCGCCCAAGAGUUCAUAUCGACGGCGGUGUUUGGCACCUCGAUGUCGGCUCAUCACAUCCUGGGGCUGAAGUAGGUCCCAAGGGUAUGGCUGUUCGCCAUUUAAAGUGGUACGCGAGCUGGGUUUAGAACGUCGUGAGACAGUUC